GGUUACUUUACUGGAUUUCAAGAUAUUUUAAUGUGAGAGUAGUUAGGACCUUGUGGUACUGGCACACAGACCAACGGAAUGGUAGACAAGGAACAGAUUCACACUUGGAUACUUGAUUUAGGACAACGUGGCAUUGAAAGACAGUAGAAAAGAUACCCCCCCCCCCACCCCCAGCCAAUAAUUCUGGAUCAACUGAAUAUCCAAAUGGAAAAAAACUAAAACCCGAUCCUGGCCUCACGUCUUAUUCCAAGAUAAAAUUGAGGCAAAUUAUAGAUGAAAACACGUAAGCCCCACCUGACUUCAGCGCAGCCGCCUGGACAGCUCUGGAGGGCUUCAACUCCUCUCAAGCACAGCCACUUCUUUCACCGCCUGUCCUGGGGUUCCUACUACACCGUAGAGGUUUCCAAGAGCCUGCUUGGUGAGCAAACAUGUGCAGCUAGGAAAUCAACCCCCUGAAGGUGACCCUCCGUCGGGGAAGAAGGAUUCUAGAUUCAGGGUCAAGGAGUAAACCUGCCCGUAAACCAGGGACAGCACAGGGCUCCAGAUGGAGGCUGGACACCAAGGCGUUUGGAAUGGACCGAAGUUCACCCUGUCCCUAGUCUGAGACCUCCUGUCCAGAACUUGCUCCUCCAGCUCCGUGAGGACUGUCCUGUGAGGCCCACGGAUGAAACUGAGACGUCAAGACCUGGUCAGGGACGUGUUUUCUUGCCUGAGAGAGAGCAAGGAAAGCUCCCUCCAGGGGCCGCGCAUUGUCAGCGGCCAGUUGAGAGCCUGGCCUCCUUCAGAGCUUGCCCCUGUUCUUUGCAGCCAAGGCCAACCUCAUCCACACAUUUGUUCUCCUUCAACAAAGGCUUACUGAGCUCCUGUAAAAUGGCAGACUCUUCUGCGACCUUUCAUCCAGCUGACUCAUCCUAAGCUUAAAUUCCACUUGCCCUGGUAGCUCUUCUGUGACCCCUACACUUGGUUGGAACCACCCUGCCCCCCUCCCCACCGCCCGUGUUCUUAACAUCCCACAUUUCUCCUACUUCUUGUAGCUGCUUAACUUUUGGGCUCCCCUGCUUGACUCUUGACAUUAUGAGGGCAAAGGGCCUGAUGCCUUAAUCACUGCCUCUCGCACGGUGUCUGGCAUGCCAGGAUACCUUUGAUGAAGUUAUUUUAACCUCGAUAAGCUCCAGCUAGAAACACGGGAGUGAGAUCACCUAGAUGCAAUCCCUGCCCCCUUUUACAAACCUGGGUGGGAGGAGAUGCAAAGAGAGGUUAGAGCAUCCAGGCAAGUGGCAGAGGUAAAAUCAGAACGCAGACAGUCUGACUCCAGAUCCUCAUUCUCCACCCCUUUGUGAUGCUCUCUCUCAAAGAUGCUCUUUGCAGGUAAUGCCAUGGUUCAGCUGCUCUUUCUACCCCAGUUUAGAAACCGUGUAGGACUGCUGCCAGAAAUUUUGUGUUUCCCUUUUGUGGUCUGUUUAGGAUGUUAGCAGGCCACAUUUCGGAGCUGUCGGUGUGGGCAUAAAACCUACUUUGUAAGGUUGUUAUAAGGAUCACAGAAGGUCUUUUGAAGACCCUUAUGAAGUGCAGAGGGGGAUAAAGUUUUGAGGGUACUGUCUUAAGUAAUGAGGAUGAGUGUCCCGUGGCUGGCACGGCGGCGCCCAUGUAGUAAAUCCUCAACAGUGGUAACUGUCUUCUGCUUUGAACCACAUCGCUUUAGUGUUCUGGAAUCCUCCUUCCUCUCAUGAGUUAAUAAAAACAUCUACAGGGAAUGCACCCC
Molecule: long non-coding RNA, 1762 nt
Organism: Canis lupus familiaris (dog)
Lineage: Eukaryota; Metazoa; Chordata; Mammalia; Carnivora; Canidae
Exons: 5
Source: RefSeq, a predicted model, not a curated record